GGCUCCAUAUUGUAGUGGUUAGCACAUCUGCUUUACAUGCAGAAAGUCCUAGGUUCACGCCCGAGGUGGAGCCA
This 74-nucleotide transfer RNA is filed under the name Pteropus alecto (black flying fox). It matches the Rfam family "tRNA". Rfam says of the family: Transfer RNA (tRNA) molecules are approximately 80 nucleotides in length. Lineage: Eukaryota; Metazoa; Chordata; Mammalia; Chiroptera; Pteropodidae. The record is from Rfam by way of RNAcentral.